RNAcentral lists this ribosomal RNA (114 nucleotides) under Acanthosepion pharaonis. The record is from RNAcentral. Lineage: Eukaryota; Metazoa; Mollusca; Cephalopoda; Sepiida; Sepiidae.
UUACGGCCAUAUCACGUUGAAACACCAGUUCUCGGACGAUCACCAAAGUUAAGCAACGUUAAGUCUGGUCAGUAUCUAGAUGAGUAACUGCUUGGCAAUACCAGGUGCUGUAAG